AAUAACUCAUCUUUUGCAAGAUAUAGAUGUGCAAAACUAGAAAGAUAGUUGAUAAUCUUAACUCAAGAGAGAAGUGAAAGAUUUUGUAUAAAGAUAGAAAAGUUCAAAUCGAAAUUUGAGAGAGAGUGAGACAACAGCUUAAAACUUCUCAGACCAGAAAAAAGUAAUGAGGAACAGCUGCUAUCCUCAUCUGGCUUAAGAAAAUGAGGUGACAGACUGUUAGUGUUAUGUAGUGGCUGUAAUGGCCGUCGCAUGAGCAAUUUUUUUUUUUUGCCUUUAAAUAAGGGGAGUCAUGGUAACGGGAGGGCAAAAAGGCUAUAAAUAAUGGUUGAUAUUUAAAACCAUGAUUGGAACCUGAUUGCAUAGGUGGAAAGCUUCAAAGAAUGCAAAUUUUACGUUACAAGCUUUUGUGAAACUCGUUAAAGAUAGCAGUGAAGAAUUCCCUUGGUUGAAUUGUUUAAUUUUAGAUGAAGGUACAACUUGCAAUGACUAUUUUGUAGGCAUGCUUUGCGUAGUUUCAUCUUGGAUGUGGAUAAUUCGAAGGAAAAUGAAUAUUUCCUUGACUGGAUGGUAGAUGAAGUGCAAUAGGAAGGAGGAAUUUUUAGAAGAACUUGUUAGAGAUUAGGGUGGUAUUUAGAGUAGUUGCAAAAUAAAUAAAUAAAUAAAUAA
RNAcentral lists this unclassified non-coding RNA (669 nucleotides) under Hevea brasiliensis (rubber tree). Lineage: Eukaryota; Viridiplantae; Streptophyta; Magnoliopsida; Malpighiales; Euphorbiaceae. The record is from RNAcentral.